Molecule: transfer RNA, 77 nt
Filed under: Virus Rctr197k
Lineage: Duplodnaviria; Heunggongvirae; Uroviricota; Caudoviricetes
Description: tRNA-Met
Rfam family: tRNA
About the family: Transfer RNA (tRNA) molecules are approximately 80 nucleotides in length. Their secondary structure includes four short double-helical elements and three loops (D, anti-codon, and T loops). Further hydrogen bonds mediate the characteristic L-shaped molecular structure. tRNAs have two regions of fundamental functional importance: the anti-codon, which is responsible for specific mRNA codon recognition, and the 3' end, to which the tRNAs corresponding amino acid is attached (by aminoacyl-tRNA synthetases). tRNAs cope with the degeneracy of the genetic code in two manners: having more than one tRNA (with a specific anti-codon) for a particular amino acid; and 'wobble' base-pairing, i.e. permitting non-standard base-pairing at the 3rd anti-codon position.
Source: RNAcentral
UCGUGGCCGAGUCUGCUUGGAGAAGACGCCGCCCUCAUAAGGCGGAGACGCCGGGUUCGAUGCCCGGGGCCACGAUC